This 497-nucleotide ribosomal RNA is filed under the name uncultured bacterium. RNAcentral's name for it is "partial 16S ribosomal RNA". It matches the Rfam family "Bacterial small subunit ribosomal RNA", at positions 28 to 507 of the family's 1533-position model. The record is from RNAcentral.
GAUGAACGCUGGCGGCGUGCCUAAUACAUGCAAGUCGAGCGAACGGACGAGAAGCUUGCUUCUCUGAUGUUAGCGGCGGACGGGUGUGUAACACGUGGAUAACCUACCUAUAAGACUGGGAUAACUUCGGGAAACCGGAGCUAAUACCGGAUGAUAUUUUGAACCGCAUGGUUCAAAAGUGAAAGACGGUCUUGCUGUCACUUAUAGAUGGAUCCGCGCUGCAUUAGCUAGUUGGUAAGGUAACGGCUUACCAAGGCAACGAUGCAUAGCCGACCUGAGAGGGUGAUAGGCCACACUGGAACUGAGACACGGUCCAGACUCCUACGGGAGGCAGCAGUAGGGAAUCUUACGCAAUGGGCGAAAGCCUGACGGAGCAACGCCGCGUGAGUGAUGAAGGUCUUCGGAUCGUAAAACUCUGUUAUUAGGGAAGAACAUAUGUGUAAGUAACUGUGCACAUCUUGACGGUACCUAAUCAGAAAGCCACGGCUAACUACGUG